Molecule: ribosomal RNA, 586 nt
Filed under: uncultured bacterium
Lineage: Bacteria
Description: bacterial SSU rRNA
Rfam family: Bacterial small subunit ribosomal RNA
Source: RNAcentral
CUACGGAGGCAGCAGUGGGGAAUUUUCCGCAAUGGGCGAAAGCCUGACGCAGCAACGCCGCGUGAGUGAUGAAGGUCUUCGGAUCGUAAAGCUCUGUCGGCAGGAGAGACGGGUUGUAUGCAUAAUACGUAUGCAGCCUGACGGUACCUGCAAAGGAAGCACCGGCUAACUCUGUGCCAGCAGCCGCGGUAAGACAGAGGGUGCAAGCGUUGUUCGGAAUUAUUGGGCGUAAAGCGCGCGUAGGCGGUCGGGUAAGUCAAAUGUGAAAUCCCGUGGCUCAACCAUGGAAGUGCAUUCGAAACUGCCUGACUGGAGUAUCGGAGAGGGUGGUGGAAUUCCCAGUGUAGAAGUGAAAUUCGUAGAUAUUGGGAGGAACACCAGUGGCGAAGGCGACCACCUGGACGAUUACUGACGCUGAGGCGCGAGAGCGUGGGGAGCAAACAGGAUUAGAUACCCUGGUAGUCCACGCCGUAAACGAUGGGUACUAGGUGUUGCGGGUAUUGACCCCUGCAGUGCCGACGCUAACGCAAUAAGUACCCCGCCUGGGAAGUACGGCCGCAAGGCUAAAACUCAAAUGAAUUGACGG